ACGACUCGCAGUCUCUUAAAUUAGCAUAAACAUUAGAGGCAAACUCUUUAGUGUGUGGGGGUCUCUUUCUGUGCUGCUGUGUAUCAUAAUUUUUUUACAAUUCACGUUUAAUUAACAAAGCAGAAAAGAAAAAAGUAUCAGAUCUUCGGCGAAAAUUGAGCCUUCCAUAAGGUGUCAAGGACAUAAGCUAUUCUCGCUUGGGUCGAGGAUCUUCUUCUUGUGUGGUCAGAAAGAGAACGGAGGAUUGGUGAAGUGGAUCGUGGAACAGAGGAUUGGUCACAUUUCUGCCUUCCAAAUCUUCAGAAGCCGCAGCUCGGCGGUGGUGCUGCAGUCAUCGUCUCUGAAGUCAGCAAGAAGGAGAGAGAAGUGAUGAAUUUCACGAAGACAAACUAAGCUAUUUAUAGCUCCAGAUUUACCGACUGGAAGAAAAUGAGAGAUGCAAUGAAUGUGAUAUUGUGGAAGGAGUGGGGGAGAUGGACAUUAAUGACAAUGAUUGAACUUAUAAGGGAUCCGUAACGGAGGAGAAGAGUCUCAAAUAAAACGACGCGAAAGAAGUUCAACCAAGAGAUCCCUCUGGAAUGUUGUUCUCACACAACCUCCAUUCAACGCUAUUGUCGGUUUAUGUAGAUUGAAGAAGACGAUUGUUCUUUCUAAUCGGGCUGGGCUAUUAUCUUUCACAAAACUAAAUAAAAAGAGAAAGCCCAAAAUUUGUAAAGCAGAAAACCCAUAUUAAAUCGAAACAACAACGUAACAAUUAACUGA
Raphanus sativus (radish) is the source of this 762-nucleotide long non-coding RNA. RefSeq lists it as uncharacterized. The transcript has 2 exons. The record is from RefSeq and is a predicted model, not a curated record. NCBI's taxonomy places the organism in Eukaryota, Viridiplantae, Streptophyta, Magnoliopsida, Brassicales, Brassicaceae.